UCCUGUUCUGAUUGGGCGCGGCCGGCUUUAGUCGCUUUGCGUCAUCAGUUUGCCAGCUGAUCGGAGUUUGGAGCCGGCUUGCUGGGAGUUGCGGGGAGACAGGACAGGUCAACGAGUGGGAGCGGUCACUAGAGAAGCCCGAUGUUUUCUGCCAUCCCGGCGGCGGUGCGUUCGGCAGCCCUAAUAUCAAUUGAUACCUAUUGGAAUUCAUUCUUUUAGAGGGCUUUCUAUGAUCGGGGUGGGGUGUCUGGGGCAUCUGCAAGUGAGGUGUAAGCAUAGACUGGGUGGGGAGAAUGCGGUAGAUUGGGGAUUGUGUCCUAGGGAUGUGUCUGAAAUGCUGCCCACCCUUUGUGGAACUACAGCUCCCAGAAGCACUAAAAAGCUUCGGGUGCGAAGGGUUAAUGGGAGAUAUAGUGGGAAAAAAGCCCUGGAGGGCAUUAGGUUUGACUACCCCGCUGAUUGGUAUGGAUUGUGCAAUAGGACUGGGUUUUUGGAUUAGGUGAGUGGGCUGGAAUGGGUCUGUUUGGGUGUGGUAGGUGCGAUCUUUACAUUGAUCGCCUCUCCAUCUGUAGCUGAACUACGUCCCUAGCAUUCCCACCAAAGAUUUGUGCCGGUAGAGAAUGCUGGGAGGGCUAGUUUGGCGGCCGCAGGCGUAAGAACGCCCUAUAGAGCGAUGUGAGUGGGGUGCUGGGCAGUGCAAGAUACUUGCUGAGUAAGGUGGGUGACGCAUAGAGAGUUACAGGGAGCAGCUUUAUGCUGGGCUACAGUGCCGGGCCCUACAGUGUGUUCGCCCAAUAGGAGGGAAAGAAGUUUAUAGUUGUGUUUCUUGGUAUUUAUGGAGAGGGUAUGCAGAUUGGGUGUGCCAGGGCAUGCUCUGUAGGUUAUAUACAAGAUAUACAGCCCCAGAUUCAAUUCUGUGACAGUGGGCCCUUGGCUUUAGUGAAGUCCCUAUUGGUACUGGUUAAUAUCACUUGCCAAGUUACUAACUAAACUAGUAUUGUGUGAAGCAAAUUGGUUUAUCUAGCCUGCUAUUUAGUUGGAUAGAAAUGAUGAACACGAAGGCUACAGUUUGCAACUGGGUGGCUAGUGGGUGUGGUAGGCAGGUUGAUAAGCUAAAGUCUGGCCCUGGAAAUUGUAUAUAACCAAAGCAGUUAGUAGAUAUAGUAGACUGGGUUUAUGUAUAUGAAGGUGGGUUUUGAGGAGUACAAUGAAUGUACCCUGGAGGAUGGAAGGCAGGAUGGUAUCAUGGGUGUGGUAGGAAUGUAUGUGGUGGAGGGGGAGUUGGGAAAUGUGGUGUUGUUGAGGUAGCCAUCCAUGAUAGGGGCUAAACUGUUAUAGGUGUGGCAGGCAGAUUCUAAUUUGAAUCUGGUAUUGCUGGUAUGGCAAUUUAUUUGGUAUAUGAUAGUAAGGUUGGUGACUGAUGCAACAUGGUACUGGGAAUAGGCAGGUAUGAGGACUUUUAAUACUGUAUAACGAAUAUGAUAUAUAUGUAUAAUAUAUGGAUAUAUAUUGUAAGCAUUCAGUGAUACAAUAUGUUACUGAGAAUUUGGUGGCAAGGUUUGAGGGUUGACAGUGGUCCUGUAGCAGUUUGUAGAGGGGAAGCACUUAAUGUGGGCAGGUGGAUAUGAUGGGAGGAUGGAAAGUGGCAUUGUAGUUAAGGCAGGCAGGUCAGGUAGUGAAUCUGACAACAUGGUGGUAUGAAGGUGCAAUGUGGUGGACAGAAUGGCAUCAUUUAUUGUGUGAACAUUUGGCAGUAUGAAAGGGUGACAGGUAGUAAUGUGCCCUAUGUUGGAAUGAAGGGUUGUUGAAAUGGCAGACUACUGGCAAGGUGAUAUUAUGGCUAUAGCAGGCCAGAAGGUGGCAUGCAUGUGUGUGGCUAUGACAGGCCUGGCUGGUUAUUGCAGAUGUGGCAGGUUAGUAGGAGGGUGGCAUGGCAGGUUGGGGGGGUAACAUGAGAUGCCAGUAGAAUUUUGUGGUAAGGGUAUGAUAGAUAGGGUGGCAAAGGGCAUGUGGCAGGCGAGUUGACCAUUAACACAAAGUUUCUGGCUUCCAGACAGGAGGGUUGGUUGGUGCGAGUGGGCAUUGGCCACACAUGUAUCUGUGCAGGACUUGCCUGGGGUGGGACUAAUAAAGUAGGUUAGGCAGCAGCUUGCCCAGGUAGGCGCCACAAAGCUUAUUGUUGGUACCUGUGCUGUUAGUACCUAUAGGCUGCCGACCCCGGUCAGAGCUACGGAUCCCAGCGACAUAGAGGACUGACCACACCCAUCGCGCAAACGUGCCCCGGAGCCUGAAUGUAACGAAUAGAAACCCACUCUUUCUAGCCCAUGUUUUUCUGGCCCGCUAGAAGCAGUUCUUCAGUGGCAAGCUUUAUGUUGUUCCUCUGUGCUAAAGCUGCCAGUUGAAGAACUGUUGAAAGUGGCUACUGUUCGACUGGGAUUAUUGGUGUUUUGGAGGAAAACAAAUGGAUACAGAGAGGCUGCAGGUAAAUCCCUGUAAUCCUGCUGCUAUACCCUGUACGACUUGGUAAGUAGAUUAGAUCAGUUAGUAGGUAUGCCUACUUGUCGCUAUCAGGGCACUGGUAAAAGUAAAUGUUCGGUGUCCUAUGGCCCCUCACUGCAGGAAUAUAAUUUUUUAGGAAUUCUAAAGUCACUAAAGUGCUGGCCCACUGCUGAAAACAGUGAUUUUUAUUUAACAACUUCUGCCACAAUGAAAAAUAAGAUAGCUUUUUGGAUAAAGGGUGCCAAACUGACAAAGUAACACUCUAUUAAAGUAGUUGCUCCGUAUAAACCAAAUGCAUAUAUAUGCCGUGCCAUCUAAUAGAUUAUCUUAGCUGAUGCGUUUCCAUGGGACUUUGUGCUGGCUUUCUGUGUGUUGUAGGAAACGUAACAAGAUGGAAGCUUUGGGAGAGAAGCAACACAUCAAGCAAGUGAUAUAAGAAAAUACUUUAUAUUACUGUAGUUUUUGCCUACAAUUCAAGCAAAUGAAUGUAUCUGUCAUUUUAUAAACUUUGAAACACAAUAAAAACCUAAAACUGA
Xenopus tropicalis (tropical clawed frog) is the source of this 3035-nucleotide long non-coding RNA. RefSeq lists it as uncharacterized. The transcript has 2 exons. The record is from RefSeq and is a predicted model, not a curated record. Lineage: Eukaryota; Metazoa; Chordata; Amphibia; Anura; Pipidae.